GCGAGAGCGGAUUUGGGAUUUGAAGAAAAAGAAAGACGAAGCUUCGUUCCAAAGUGUUCACUUCUUUUUCGCCAGGUUUCAUUCGAUUUCUUGUGGAUUGGAUGAUGGAAAAACCAGCAAGCCCCUCUUCUUUCAGUCGAGUUACUUCGUACCUCUUCUUUCAGAUUCCUAAAGGGCGCUGUGAACUGUAAUUGUGAAAAGGUUGGAAGAUCUGGCCAAAGAAGGUGAUAGCCCUGUAGAUUCGUUCCUAUGGUUCGAUCCUUCCCAGUAAAACGCG
RNAcentral lists this long non-coding RNA (277 nucleotides) under Brassica napus (rape). RNAcentral's name for it is "long non-coding RNA (BNAP_LNC000002)". Lineage: Eukaryota; Viridiplantae; Streptophyta; Magnoliopsida; Brassicales; Brassicaceae. The record is from RNAcentral.